CAAGUUCACCAGAAUGUUUCAGCGUGCAAUAGCGUCGUUUGAUGAGUACCUUAGAAUUGUAUAGGCGGUAAGGUUCUUGCAUAUGUUAAUACAUUAUCACAUAUACCGAUAGAGUAUAAAAGAAUCCAAGGCAAUAGGUAGUGACAUUAAUCAACUAGAAGGACAGGCAACAUGAAGACCGUUUUUGUUCUGCUAGCUGUCGUUUUCCUUGCUUUCGCUGUAAAUGAUGGUGCUUGUCAAAGGAAAGGAAAAAGAAUCUUUGAGGAUGAUUUAAACGACGAGUUGACGAUUCAACAGGUCUCCAAAAGAGUUGCCCGCAUGGAAAAGUAUCUCUGUGAAGCAGCAGAAGAAAUGGGAUGCAGACGAUGACACUAGCAAUCUAACCUGGCAUUGACCAGUUAAAGUGCAAUAAAGCAUGCGUCAAAUAUUAUUUUACUGAAUUUCUUUGAUAGACAGUAAAUUGUUUAAAUAAGA
This is a long non-coding RNA of Exaiptasia diaphana, 474 nucleotides long. RefSeq lists it as uncharacterized. The record is from RefSeq and is a predicted model, not a curated record. The transcript has 2 exons. NCBI's taxonomy places the organism in Eukaryota, Metazoa, Cnidaria, Anthozoa, Actiniaria, Aiptasiidae.